Paramuricea clavata is the source of this 204-nucleotide non-coding RNA. The record is from the annotation of a GenBank genome assembly. NCBI's taxonomy places the organism in Eukaryota, Metazoa, Cnidaria, Anthozoa, Malacalcyonacea, Plexauridae.
AACUGAUAGAGAGUAAAAUUUUACGUCUCUGUAGUAUAGUUACAUAAUUUAAAACGGCAAUGCACGAACAAGACAACAAUAUACAAACGGGACUAUGUUUUAAAUAUUAGAACACUUUAGGGAAAAAACGACCAUGAAUUAUUUUAGAUUAAAGUUUAGACCUUGAAUCCUAGUGAAAGAUACAGGCGUAAAAUUGCGCGAGAA